RNAcentral lists this ribosomal RNA (681 nucleotides) under Streptomyces sp. KLBMP 03651. RNAcentral's name for it is "bacterial SSU rRNA". It matches the Rfam family "Bacterial small subunit ribosomal RNA", at positions 56 to 755 of the family's 1533-position model. The record is from RNAcentral. Lineage: Bacteria; Bacillati; Actinomycetota; Actinomycetes; Kitasatosporales; Streptomycetaceae.
UGCAGUCGAACGAUGAAGCCUUUCGGGGUGGAUUAGUGGCGAACGGGUGAGUAACACGUGGGCAAUCUGCCCUGCACUCUGGGACAAGCCCUGGAAACGGGGUCUAAUACCGGAUAUUACUCGUCAAGGCAUCUUGACGGGUGGAAAGCUCCGGCGGUGCAGGAUGAGCCCGCGGCCUAUCAGCUUGUUGGUGGGGUGAUGGCCUACCAAGGCGACGACGGGUAGCCGGCCUGAGAGGGCGACCGGCCACACUGGGACUGAGACACGGCCCAGACUCCUACGGGAGGCAGCAGUGGGGAAUAUUGCACAAUGGGCGAAAGCCUGAUGCAGCGACGCCGCGUGAGGGAUGACGGCCUUCGGGUUGUAAACCUCUUUCAGCAGGGAAGAAGCGCAAGUGACGGUACCUGCAGAAGAAGCACCGGCUAACUACGUGCCAGCAGCCGCGGUAAUACGUAGGGUGCGAGCGUUGUCCGGAAUUAUUGGGCGUAAAGAGCUCGUAGGCGGCUUGUCGCGUCGGAUGUGAAAGCCCGGGGCUUAACCCCGGGUCUGCAUUCGAUACGGGCAGGCUAGAGUUCGGUAGGGGAGAUCGGAAUUCCUGGUGUAGCGGUGAAAUGCGCAGAUAUCAGGAGGAACACCGGUGGCGAAGGCGGAUCUCUGGGCCGAUACUGACGCUGAGGAGCG